This 101-nucleotide microRNA precursor is filed under the name Chlorocebus sabaeus (green monkey). RNAcentral's name for it is "miRNA (ENSCSAG00000025951.1)". The record is from RNAcentral. Lineage: Eukaryota; Metazoa; Chordata; Mammalia; Primates; Cercopithecidae.
UGAGGCAGGAGAAUCGCUUGAACCCAGGAGGUGGAGGCUGCAGUGAGCCGAGAUCGCACCACUGCACUCCAGCCUGGGUGACAGAGCGAGACUCCAUCUAA